Molecule: long non-coding RNA, 801 nt
Organism: Gallus gallus (chicken)
Lineage: Eukaryota; Metazoa; Chordata; Aves; Galliformes; Phasianidae
Source: Ensembl
GAGCUACUUUGUCAUCAAACAGAGGCUCACAAAACCAUGAAAGAAUGAACUGAAUUUAAAAUGGAGAAAUGUGCACAGGCAGUUUAUGCGAGAGUUAAUACACUGCUCCAAACAAGUCAGCAAAAUCCACAGCCAGGAACAGUGGUUUUCGGAGCACAGCCAAAGACCCGGACUCAUUGGCUAUCCGUCACCUGUCGCAGAAGACCAGCUCUGUAGCUCCUUUCAAAGUGAAGUGAUCAGUUACAUUCAAGCAGAAAAUGAAUGAACACAUCGAAACAGGUGUUUUUACAUUGGCACAGCUGUCCUGGAUGCAGCUUGCAGCCAGGACUGCAUUUGUACACAGCCAAAGUGGAUCUCAAGCAUUCCUGCGCCUCUAGCAGUUUGACCUCCACCCACAGCAGAUAAGUAACUCAGAUGGGGCUGUUCUUGUUAAUCUGCAGAAAAGAAGAGAUGUCCUUGAUGCACCAUAUACAUGUGACGCAUAUGACAAGUGUUAGCUGUGUCUCAGUGAAAGCUGAAAAUUCUUUCCUUCUUCAGGCUGCCACUCCAGAAACAUGGUAUUCUGGUUUGAAGUGGAAGAAAAUCUUACAAAAUUCUUUUUCUGUCAAGCAGUAACUAAAGCUGAGAGACUGAACGAGUGGAGUGCCUGAAAACCAUCCUCAGGUAUGAAAUGAUCUGUCUCCAAUACUAGUAUUGUUUCAUUUAGGAACAUGUAACAUCCAGUAAUACGCAUAUAUUUCAUUACAAUUUUUAAGAAUCGUUUCUCCUGGUUGAGGAAUCACUUAUUCAAGCAAAACACGG